CUGAUACAAAUGCAAGUUUGAGAGCCACCACUGCAGAGAACACUGCCAUUUUUGUAACCAUGGCAACUACUAUGGCAGUAGUUGGGCUCGGACAGAGCUCCCCAGAACACCUGUGCAGAGGGUAACUGAGAAUGAGAAAGCCCUGGAUUUCCCUGGUAAUUAUCUCCUUCAGCCUGCACUUUCCUCACCAAUCUAUUCCCUCUGGAACGAGGCUUUACUCAGAUGUGUUAAUCAUGGAUCCCCUCCCUGCCUGUCCCUAUUAGAUUUCUCAUGGGUAAGCUCAUGGCACCAGUGCCCACCUUUCAGCCCAGCAGUGGGGCAUUGCUCUGCAGGUGGUUCCUCCCCAGCCUCCCCAUCCCAAUCUGGCCAUGUCUGGCCUCUGUAUGCCAGGAGCUGGGACAAACUGCACCCUGCACUUCAUUGCUGGCUAGCUUCUCUCCAUGCAUCUCUCAUUUCCUCUGCCAGAUGGAGCUUGUAGGUAGGUGAUGUGGCUGGUCUCCCUUUCUGCACACUCUCUCCACUCUAAUCUGGUGCUACAAGAUGCUGUCAGAAUCUUUGUCCUGAAGUACAAUUUUGACAUGGGUCAUGUUCUCAAUCAAAAUGGUCCUCUCAAAAGGAACCCAUAGAAUCAAUCCAAAGUCUUUAGCCUAGAAUACAGGGCCUCCAAAAUUGAGUGCUACUAAACAGAUUUUUUUUAAAAAAAAUAAAUUUUAAAGAUAUAGGAAGCACAGAGAAUACUGUAACAUAUACUCAUAAUGACAUGUUAAAGCUGUCAGAUUUUUAAAUCUCUGUGUGUGUAUAUGAAGAAAUAUCACAGAUAAAGCCUCCUUUCCCCUCUUUCCCCUCACUCCUUAAACCACCUUUAGGGCAUUUUCUUCUACAAGUCACCAUCACACACCCUGCAGUGAGCCAACUGGACCACUGGGAACUCACCAUGGAGGUGCUUUCCUGUCUCUCUGCCCUUGCCUGACGGAGACCCCUGACUGGAAUGCCCUCCUCUCCCAUCAGCUGCCAGGCUGGGCUUAAUCCAACCCUCCAGCCCUUCAAGCCCCAGUGCAAAUGUCACACCCUCCAAAAAGUUCUGGGAUCCUGUCCCUUCAUGUCUGUCACACUCCCCCACUCUCAUCCUCAGCUAGGAUAACUUCCAAGUCUCUAUGUUUAGAGCACAGGGUUGAGGGCUCAGCUCAGGCAUCGACUCAGGGUGGCACCUUUGACAGGCUCAGUGUGUUCAUCUGCAAAUGAGGGUAGUGAUGUCUUCCUGACAGGCUUGUUGAGAGUAGGUGUGACAGCAGUGAGGCCAGGGAUUUUAUAUAUAAUCACAGGUAAGAGAUUAUUUAUGUUUCUUUAAUGCCUCCUGCCUUUCCUGUUCAUCCACCCGAGGGCAGAAUGAUCCCUGUUUGAUUCUUCUUUGGUGGCCCACAGGUCUUGAUGCUCUGCACACAGUGAGAGCCAAGGAGGGAGUGGGGUUAUAAAUACUGAGGCUGUUUCUGCCCCAUGUCAGCAUAAGAUGGAGAAAUUGAACUCUCCUUGGCAUCAGCCAUGUAACAAGUGCCAACUUGUACCAGGCACAGUACUAGCUGGUGGUUUCAGUGGAGAGACCAAGGCUAGUUGGAGACACAGGGCAUGUGUGUGACAAAACAGGCACGUUGUUCAUUCAUUGUCUGAGGAGCAGCCAGAGGGGAGGCUGACGGUGCUUGGGGCGGGGGGUGCACUCUCCGGAAGCCUCUAAGAAAUGCUCCAAGAAGGUGGCAUCAAACAUCUCUCAAACCUGGCUUGGAAACAACCUUUUCAAUGACAUCCUGACACAUGGCCUUGGUGGGAAAACUGACCAAAUAUGGGCAAAAUAGGUCCAUGAUCCCAGACCAAAAAAGUUCUGAAAACUGGAGACUUACCAUAACUUUUUAGCAGAAACCUGGACCAACCUGAUAGGAGGUUAUUUAUGGCAUUUAUCAAACUGAGUGUGAAAAUUCAUGCCUUUUGCUGAAGAAGUGUGUGUGUGUGUGUGUGUGUGUGUGUGUGUGUUUGAGAGAGAGAGAGAGAGAUUGAUUGAUUGAUUUCAGGAUACUAUCCCACAACCUGCAGAGUUAAUUUGUAGCAUACAGUGGAUGCACUGUAACACCGGUCUAAAACCUGAGAAAUUUCAAAUUCCUAAACAACUCUGACUGGCCCCCAGAGUUUUAGCCAAGAAUUGUGGACCUCUACAGACCUCAUCAGGGAGGUAUCCUCCCCACCAUCUACCCUGCUCCCUAUAGGCUCCUAGGCAAAUGGUUUCCUUCCACCUGGGACAGGCCAGCCUGGUAUCUUUGAAAUGCACACAGGCUCCAGCUCUGCCCAUGGCUGAAGCCCAGAGCAAUGAAAUCCUCAUUGCAGAAGUGUGUUUCUCUUAGUGUUAGAAAAACAGCAUAGACUAACAGGAAAGAGGCCUCAGCAUUGCCUGCAGGGCCCUCUGGGCUGCAUUAGAUGGCUGCACUACCUUCUGGGUUAAUUCACCAGGCUGCUCACCCCACUCAAUACUUGCAUACUUUGAGCUUUGACUUCUCUUCUGUCUCCCCAUAUCAUGGCAUAUGAGGACAACAUCCCAUUUUCUUGGAGUUCCACCAGGUGCUAAGGUCCUAACUUAACAGCGCUCAGGUAUUAAUGUAUGGUGUAAGCUCUGGGUUUUAUACCUGGAUGCCAUUAACACUUCAGCAACGGGACUUGGAGCUUUAACCCAGAGGUUUGACUAAUAGAGGGUUUUCAAACAAUGUGUUAGACAAUUUGAGAAAAUAUUUUGGGGCAGAGGAGUUGUUCUGAUUAUUUACUCCUGCUUAAUAAACCACCCCAAACAACAGCUAUUUUAUUCUGCUCAGGAAUUUGGGAAGUGUUUGGCUGUGUGGUUCUUCCCCAAUCCAUGUAAACUUAGUUAGGUGGCUAUACUCUGUUGGUCAAAACAGUCACUGGGCCUGCCCAGAUUCAAGGGGGCACUAAAAUAGACCCCAUCUUCUGAUGAAGAACAGCAGGAUUCCAUCAUAGAAACACAUGGGAUGGGAGCUACCUGACCUCUUUUGGAAAAAUAAAGUUGGCACGAGAGGCUUCCAGGCAGAUCAUUUGCCCAUGUGGAGGUAUCUGUAAUCUCAGUCCAAAGAACUAUGAUGUAGGAAACUUGUGGUGCAGAGAAGCUAAAACAAGAUGUUCAAAAAAACUAUGUAUAGGCAAAGAAAAAGGAAGCUGGCAUUAGGAGGACCAUGUGCCUACCUCUCAGCUACAUCCUACCCACCCUCAUCACCCACACUUCUUGUAAGCCCCCUCCUUAGGGUGCUGAAGACUCUUCCAACACAUGCAGAAAAUGUUUUCUUCUACUGCAAAAUAUAAAGUUAUCAUUUAGUAUUAAGGCCAGCAAAAGGUGUUGUCCAGGGUUCCUAGAAAAUUAGUUGUGGGAACAGGAAGGCAGCGUGAGCCUCAUGGCCCUGGAGAAUUGAGGAAGGGAAGAGGCACUCCUGGAG
Molecule: long non-coding RNA, 3482 nt
Organism: Phyllostomus discolor (pale spear-nosed bat)
Lineage: Eukaryota; Metazoa; Chordata; Mammalia; Chiroptera; Phyllostomidae
Exons: 2
Source: RefSeq, a predicted model, not a curated record